This 2902-nucleotide ribosomal RNA is filed under the name Escherichia coli. RNAcentral describes it as "bacterial LSU rRNA". It matches the Rfam family "Bacterial large subunit ribosomal RNA". Lineage: Bacteria; Pseudomonadati; Pseudomonadota; Gammaproteobacteria; Enterobacterales; Enterobacteriaceae. The record is from RNAcentral.
UUAAGCGACUAAGCGUACACGGUGGAUGCCCUGGCAGUCAGAGGCGAUGAAGGACGUGCUAAUCUGCGAUAAGCGUCGGUAAGGUGAUAUGAACCGUUAUAACCGGCGAUUUCCGAAUGGGGAAACCCAGUGUGUUUCGACACACUAUCAUUAACUGAAUCCAUAGGUUAAUGAGGCGAACCGGGGGAACUGAAACAUCUAAGUACCCCGAGGAAAAGAAAUCAACCGAGAUUCCCCCAGUAGCGGCGAGCGAACGGGGAGCAGCCCAGAGCCUGAAUCAGUGUGUGUGUUAGUGGAAGCGUCUGGAAAGGCGCGCGAUACAGGGUGACAGCCCCGUACACAAAAAUGCACAUGCUGUGAGCUCGAUGAGUAGGGCGGGACACGUGGUAUCCUGUCUGAAUAUGGGGGGACCAUCCUCCAAGGCUAAAUACUCCUGACUGACCGAUAGUGAACCAGUACCGUGAGGGAAAGGCGAAAAGAACCCCGGCGAGGGGAGUGAAAAAGAACCUGAAACCGUGUACGUACAAGCAGUGGGAGCACGCUUAGGCGUGUGACUGCGUACCUUUUGUAUAAUGGGUCAGCGACUUAUAUUCUGUAGCAAGGUUAACCGAAUAGGGGAGCCGAAGGGAAACCGAGUCUUAACUGGGCGUUAAGUUGCAGGGUAUAGACCCGAAACCCGGUGAUCUAGCCAUGGGCAGGUUGAAGGUUGGGUAACACUAACUGGAGGACCGAACCGACUAAUGUUGAAAAAUUAGCGGAUGACUUGUGGCUGGGGGUGAAAGGCCAAUCAAACCGGGAGAUAGCUGGUUCUCCCCGAAAGCUAUUUAGGUAGCGCCUCGUGAAUUCAUCUCCGGGGGUAGAGCACUGUUUCGGCAAGGGGGUCAUCCCGACUUACCAACCCGAUGCAAACUGCGAAUACCGGAGAAUGUUAUCACGGGAGACACACGGCGGGUGCUAACGUCCGUCGUGAAGAGGGAAACAACCCAGACCGCCAGCUAAGGUCCCAAAGUCAUGGUUAAGUGGGAAACGAUGUGGGAAGGCCCAGACAGCCAGGAUGUUGGCUUAGAAGCAGCCAUCAUUUAAAGAAAGCGUAAUAGCUCACUGGUCGAGUCGGCCUGCGCGGAAGAUGUAACGGGGCUAAACCAUGCACCGAAGCUGCGGCAGCGACGCUGAUGCGUUGUUGGGUAGGGGAGCGUUCUGUAAGCCUGCGAAGGUGUGCUGUGAGGCAUGCUGGAGGUAUCAGAAGUGCGAAUGCUGACAUAAGUAACGAUAAAGCGGGUGAAAAGCCCGCUCGCUGGAAGACCAAGGGUUCCUGUCCAACGUUAAUCGGGGCAGGGUGAGUCGACCCCUAAGGCGAGGCCGAAAGGCGUAGUCGAUGGGAAACAGGUUAAUAUUCCUGUACUUGGUGUUACUGCGAAGGGGGGACGGAGAAGGCUAUGUUGGCCGGGCGACGGUUGUCCCGGUUUAAGCGUGUAGGCUGGUUUUCCAGGCAAAUCCGGAAAAUCAAGGCUGAGGCGUGAUGACGAGGCACUACGGUGCUGAAGCAACAAAUGCCCUGCUUCCAGGAAAAGCCUCUAAGCAUCAGGUAACAUCAAAUCGUACCCCAAACCGACACAGGUGGUCAGGUAGAGAAUACCAAGGCGCUUGAGAGAACUCGGGUGAAGGAACUAGGCAAAAUGGUGCCGUAACUUCGGGAGAAGGCACGCUGAUAUGUAGGUGAGGUCCCUCGCGGAUGGAGCUGAAAUCAGUCGAAGAUACCAGCUGGCUGCAACUGUUUAUUAAAAACACAGCACUGUGCAAACACGAAAGUGGACGUAUACGGUGUGACGCCUGCCCGGUGCCGGAAGGUUAAUUGAUGGGGUUAGCGCAAGCGAAGCUCUUGAUCGAAGCCCCGGUAAACGGCGGCCGUAACUAUAACGGUCCUAAGGUAGCGAAAUUCCUUGUCGGGUAAGUUCCGACCUGCACGAAUGGCGUAAUGAUGGCCAGGCUGUCUCCACCCGAGACUCAGUGAAAUUGAACUCGCUGUGAAGAUGCAGUGUACCCGCGGCAAGACGGAAAGACCCCGUGAACCUUUACUAUAGCUUGACACUGAACAUUGAGCCUUGAUGUGUAGGAUAGGUGGGAGGCUUAGAAGUGUGGACGCCAGUCUGCAUGGAGCCGACCUUGAAAUACCACCCUUUAAUGUUUGAUGUUCUAACGUUGACCCGUAAUCCGGGUUGCGGACAGUGUCUGGUGGGUAGUUUGACUGGGGCGGUCUCCUCCUAAAGAGUAACGGAGGAGCACGAAGGUUGGCUAAUCCUGGUCGGACAUCAGGAGGUUAGUGCAAUGGCAUAAGCCAGCUUGACUGCGAGCGUGACGGCGCGAGCAGGUGCGAAAGCAGGUCAUAGUGAUCCGGUGGUUCUGAAUGGAAGGGCCAUCGCUCAACGGAUAAAAGGUACUCCGGGGAUAACAGGCUGAUACCGCCCAAGAGUUCAUAUCGACGGCGGUGUUUGGCACCUCGAUGUCGGCUCAUCACAUCCUGGGGCUGAAGUAGGUCCCAAGGGUAUGGCUGUUCGCCAUUUAAAGUGGUACGCGAGCUGGGUUUAGAACGUCGUGAGACAGUUCGGUCCCUAUCUGCCGUGGGCGCUGGAGAACUGAGGGGGGCUGCUCCUAGUACGAGAGGACCGGAGUGGACGCAUCACUGGUGUUCGGGUUGUCAUGCCAAUGGCACUGCCCGGUAGCUAAAUGCGGAAGAGAUAAGUGCUGAAAGCAUCUAAGCACGAAACUUGCCCCGAGAUGAGUUCUCCCUGACCCUUUAAGGGUCCUGAAGGAACGUUGAAGACGACGACGUUGAUAGGCCGGGUGUGUAAGCGCAGCGAUGCGUUGAGCUAACCGGUACUAAUGAACCGUGAGGCUUAACCUU